RNAcentral lists this long non-coding RNA (234 nucleotides) under Nicotiana benthamiana. RNAcentral describes it as "long non-coding RNA (NBEN_LNC007448)". Lineage: Eukaryota; Viridiplantae; Streptophyta; Magnoliopsida; Solanales; Solanaceae. The record is from RNAcentral.
UCGCCUCUAGCAGAUAGUCCAACAAGCACGCCUACUGAUCCCCAUAUCCUGUUCUCCACAACUAUGUGUAGAGUAUAGUGUGAGUACAACUAAUCCAAUGUACUAAAUACGUAUCGUAAAUAAAUACGGCAAGGUAAGAGAAGAAUACAUUAUCAACCAUGCCAGCUAUCACCUGUGUAAUUUCAUGAUUUAAACUGGUACUGAAUAAUAUUGAAAUCAAAACAUAAAGUUUAG